GCAAUCAAUUCCCACCGUGUUCCCAAAAGCUACAAAUAUCAGCUUUGGUUGGAAUUGCUUUUACAUGCCGGACUCAAUUUUAAAAAUAGUUACCCAAACACCAAUUUUUUUAACAAACUCACUUCUAAGAUUUCUAAACUCACGUUUACGGCUCCCCACCACGUAACCAAACGAGUGCUUAGCUUUUUCAAAUCGAUUCUCUACUGUGGAAAUACACUAGCAUCUAUUUGUCUCUUUUGCCCUUGAAUCUCAACACUUCCUUUCACAUACCUUUUCAAAUCUGACAAAGCCCUUCACGGUGUCUGCAUGCUUUGUCAUGUUGUUGUAAAAAAAUAUGUUUGUACUGUUGCUGUGGUUUUUUCUUCUUCUGUGUGUUGCAAAUAAAUCUCAAGGUUGAAGAUGACACGUUUUUUGAGAAGAAAUGGUCUUUUGUCUUCUUGCUCUUUAAAAGCCCAUCAGUAUCAGGUAUCCAUUUAUUUUAUAGAAAAAAAAAUUCAUAUAUAACUACGAAUUUUACUAGUUACCAAUUACAUUUUUAAUUCCCUAAAAAAAAUACAUUUUUAAUAAUUUUAUAAAAUGCAACAUAAAAAUAACUAAAAAUGGAAAUGAAAGUUGUAGACAAAAAUAAACGAAAUAUAGUGUUGAAUGCACACAUAUAUGAAAAUCCAUUUUGGUCAUUUACACACCCAAAAGUAAUUUUGACACCAAAUAUCCAAACAAAAUCUUUCAUACAAAUAACUUCAAUUGUGAAGGUAACCAAACAUAAACCACUUUACAUUAAACUCACUUUUAACUAUAAUCAAUUUUGUAAAAUCAGUUCAAACAAAAUCAAUUUUCUCCACAGCAAAAUCAAACACACACUAUAUGAAUUAAUAGCAAGGUAAUAAGAAAAGGAAUAAACAAAAUAUAAAAAAAAACUACAACAUGAGAAAUGGUACUCCGUGUGUACUGACGUGAGUGGUUUAUGGUUAUAUUUCUUUUACUAGAAGUGGGUAGUUACGUUUUUUUUAAAGAAAAUGUGGGUAGUUACAUAUAAACGUGGGUAAUUUUUUCUAUUAAAAAUUAAAUAAAAUAAAAUUAAUAAGGGUAAAAUUGAAAUAAAAUAUAAAAAGCUAUAAUCUUUAAGCUCAAAAGCUACUUGAAUUAACUUCUCAUAAAAAGCUAUAAGCUGGUGAGAAAAACUUAUUAUCAAACACGUCAUAUUUUGAUCCAACAAACUUAUAAACUAAUUCAACAAAUUAUAAACUAGCUUCUCGAGGUUACCAAACAUAACCUAACUGUGUCAAUAUUAAUAAGUUAUUUUCAAACACACUCUAAUGAUGUAGAUAAGAGUUGUUGCAUUAAAGUAGCUAAAUAUUUGACAAAAGUGCAUUCAUUUUAAGGAUCGUUGUUACUUGGUGGAUAAAGCAAAAAAUAUGACAAUUCAUUCAACAAUUUAAAAUAUUUGGACUACUUAGCAUCAUAUUAAUAACGAUGUGUCCUAAUCCAAUUAUCAUGGGUCCUAACCCUAUUAUCAUAGAUUAUAAAAAGCAUUAGUAACGACGAAUAUUUUGAUGAAGUAAGAUACAAAACCAAAAGGCAAGAAAAAAAUAAAUUAAAGAAGAACGUGGCGAAAGAAGUCAACAUCAAUGUUGACUUCAAACUAGGAGUAAUUGCCUGUUUGACAUCUUUAUUUUUGAAUAACGUUUCCAGCUAGACAAAUAAUCGAGUUUUCAUUUUUUUAAAAUUUUUCAAAAUUAAUAAUUCAACAAAUUAUUGAAAGAAACUUUAAAUAAACGACAAUAAGUUUACAUCAAAUAUUUAUGACGACCAUCUCUCAACUUUGAGAUUUUCUUUUAUCAUGAUUCAUGAUGAGUAUCUAAAACUCAACUAUAAGAGUUUUUGCAGGAGCUCUAAUUAUAUAUUUUGUUAACAUACAUAAAUUUCUUUAUAAAUAUUUAGGUAAUAUGUCUGUAUAAAUUAUUUUAUAUAUUAUAUAUUUUUUAAUUGCUUAACUAUGUGAACGUAUUAGUAUUCACUAACUAGUCAAAAAAUGUAUCUUCACAUCUUAUCAAUCACAACAUAUGAAGUCAAUGGACCAGUCAAAAUCUCUUAUGUCGACUACUUAUAAUUUGGACAAGCUAACAUAACAAACAAAAAAGCAAAAUGCGAGUUUUGUUUUUCAAUUAUAUUGGAUGGAUAACUGCAAAUUUAAUGGGAAGGUUCAUAUUUUGGUUUGAUGCACACAAUCUCUUGGAUUUGAAUUGACAUAUUUAAGUUAAUCACACUUGCAAGGAGAACAACUAUAGUGCAGAUUGACUUAUCAAUUUUAAUUUUACUUUUGAUUCUUUAAAUUGUACUAUUGUGGAGACUCGUGCAAGUGUGUUUCAUAAGCAUUUGCCUCAAUAAAUUACUUGUAAUACUUAUGAUAUCUAUAAAUAUAGUUGGUUUUUAUUUUCAUUUUAGAAUAAUUUUUUUAAGGGUCUUGCUAGAGUAAAAUGACUGGUGAUGAAUUUGUUUGUACACCUUAAAUUUUUUCUACAUUCAUUUACAUUUUAUUUUCUCUCUUAUUGUCGCAUCAUAAACUAUACUUAUCACUUUACUCUAUUAUUUCUAUGUCUGUCAAGGUGUAUAAGAAAUGUAUGAAUAUUUCUCUCAAAAAAAAAAGUAUGAAUAUUGGCUCUUUCGCAACAAAAAUUGUAAAACGGAAAAGAAAGGACAAUCGAAAGAAAGUAGUAGUUAACAAAAGAAUACAUAUAAUAAGGGUUUUGUUAACCAGUGUUCUAUGAACACUCGUCAAAAAAUCUUUACAUAAAAUUUUUUAUUAAAAACUUAUCUAUUUUGAUUGCUUAAUAAUAUUGCGCACUAAUUAAUAUUUUUCAUAUAUGAUAAUGUAUCAAACCAUGAAGCUAAUCAUUGAAAGUGUUAUAGUAUCAUUUUAUCAAAAAUAAAAAAGUGUUGUAUCAUUAAUAAUAAUCCACAACAAAUUGUAAUUUAUAUAAAAGAAACAUCAAUUAUAAACAAGUCUAAUACUAUACACACAAUGGAAAAAAGUUGUCUAAAGCAAUAGAUUAAGAGAUGAUCCUCAAUUUGCAAGCCGUGUCUCCUACCUACUCAAGUCACUUUCAUAAUAUUAAUAUUAGUGGAGGAUAGCUAUUUGGGUCAAUGUUACCAAUUAUUUGUCUCUAAAUAUGCAAAAUAAUACUUUGUUUCCCUUGCUGAAAUUCCAUAUGCUUUGCUUUACUCAAGUUUACGUCAAUAUAAUUUGCAUUUUUCUCUCUUUAUAAUUGUGUGUUUGGUAAUUGGUGUCCACAUAAAGGAAAAGCAAAUACUAACUUUAUUCUUUGUGAUUAUUAAUUAAUUAAUAAGGUCAACAGAGUAGCAUAAGCACAAGAUUGGCUGCUUAGGCUAAACAAGUGAAAAACUAAUGACUCAUCCAUACCAUUGUCUAUCUUACCUAAUGGAUGGUACACCAAUCCUAUGUAUUGUCUGGUUCUGUCCAAAUUAUCGAGAGGCAAUCAUAAGGAGCUGAAAGUAUAUGAUUUUUUUAAUUUAUUUUUAAAGAGUAACAACAUGAACUUUAAAAUUAUAAUAUCUCCAUGCGGAGUAGGCAAAGGCUAGAACAUACAUAGAAAUAAUUGUGGCCAUGUAGGUGAGUACGUGGACAAUUUGGAGGUUACAAAGCACGGAUAUUCAUCGGAUUAGGCGUGUCUUGGUGUCGGACACGACAGACACGUGUCGUGUUCAACACUGACACGAUACUAACACAUAUAAUUAUACUUAGUUAUGUGAUUUUCUCAAAUUAUUAGUGUGUCGACUUGUUAGUGUUCGUGUCGUGUCCGGUAUCCAUGUUUGUGUCCGUUUCCGUGCUUCAUAGUUUGAAGGUUAUGAAGAAUUGAUUAUUAUGUAAGUAAAGAGCCAUCCACGAUUACUCUAAAAUAAUUUUAUAUAUUUGAUAUCCAAUGAGAGUCUUUCUAUUUAUUCAUAUCAUCUCACUAUUUUUUAAAACCAAUUGACCCAAUGCUUCAAUACCUCUAUUAAAAACUACAAAUUGUAGAGUCUAAUUGACAUACGUUUUGACCUAUGUCCGACGAUAAAUAUUUGGACCAUACGAGUCGACGUAAUUUCAUAGGAGGAUUAAGUAAACAUAAUAGGGAGGCGACCACCCUCGCCCUUUCUAACUAUAAAGUUAGAACAUGGAAAAGGAUCAAGAAUAGCUAAUGAUAUCUAUGUAGCCGUUCGUAUAUAUGUCACUUGAUCACAUCAUAUAUACUCCUAACCAUAGUUUUCAGAAUCGGCUCGGUCAUCGACUCGGCGGGGGUACUGGGUCAAUGGGUCAAUGGUCGAAGCAGUGAGUCAUUGGUCGAACCGCAUGACUGAACCGGAACCACUCGGAUGACUCGGUUAGAUAACUCGGUCCUUAGAUUAAAUUUAUAUAGUUAUAUAACCGGAUUAACUCGGAUUUAAUCGGUGACUCGGUCACUUUAGAAACUAAAAUAAUGACCCCUAUAAAAUAAGAAAAAAACUAUCCAACAAUAAUAAUUUCAUAGCUAAUUGCUCAAAUUCAAAACAUAGUCAUAACUCAAAAUACAUCUUGGUAGUAAAAAUCCAAAUAGAUCCCAAAAAAGUAUGAUUCCAACAUAAAUUAAAAAAAGAGAUUGCCCCUGUUAUAAAAAUUCAAAAAGAUCCCAAGAAAAUAUAAUUCCAACACAAGUAUUAUCAUCAAUAACAUCUUAAUUCCAAGGAGUCAAUAUUGAUUGAAUUUGAAGCUCAUCAAGGAAUUCAACAUCUUCUCCAGCAGCUUCAUCAAAAACAUUACUUUGAUCCAUGUUUUCUGCAUUAGUGUCAGGUGCAUCAUUGCCAUAAUCAUCAUCCUCAUCCUCAUCCAAAUUCAAUCCAUCUAUGAAAACAUCAAUUUAAAUAAAUAUUAACAAUUGGUAUAUAACCAUAUAGUGAAAUUAUGAAAUUUUAACCUUAUAAGAAAACACAUACAUACCAAUAUCAUUUGAAAUAGGUUGGAUGGUCAUAUUGGCAAGAUCAUUGCGUAAUGAUUCCAACUCCUCAACUGUUAAAAAUGGCGGUGAAUCCUCCAACACCCAAUUAUCAUGAUGAUCAUGAAGUAAUUCAUCAUUGAUGGGGUCAUAGUUUCGAAUUUUGUUGUUCCUAUAAUUCAUUAUAAAAAUAUAAAGAUUUCUAUCUAAAUGUAAAAAUAAAAAAUGAUGAACAUAUAAGGUUUAUUGUGAACAAUCUCAUUAUGCAAAGAAACAAACACUAUUUUAUCAAUGGAUUAAUAUAACUAAAAUAUAGUAGAAAUACAUACCUAUUUUCUAGCAUUAAGUUGUAACGAACAAAGACUAGAUCGUUAAGCCUUUGAUGCUCCAACCUAUUUCUUUUUUUUGAGUGAAUAUGCUCAAACACACUCCAGUUUCUCUCGCAACCAGAAGAGCUACAAGUUUGACUUAGAACCCGAAUUGCCAAUUUUUGCAAAUGUGGUGCUUGACACCCGUAAAGUUCCCACCAUUCAUCUAUAAAAUUGCAAAAUUUCAUCAAUUAAUACAGUAUUACCGUAAGUUUAUAUGAUACAAUGAAAGGUAAGAUAUUUGUAAAUGGAUCAUCGUAAGUGUAUAUGAUACAAUGAAAUGUAAGAUACCUGGAAAUGGUGAAUUUCGAGCUUCUACAGCAGAUUUCCUUCCAAAGUCGCCCUCGGAAUUUCUAAAUAUACUUGUCUCAGUAUUUAACUUUGCUCGCAACUCAUGAUUAUUACGAGCAUACUUUUCAAUGACAUCUAUAAGACCAGAUGUGGUGGACUUGUGUUUCUCAAACUCAGGACUGAAUCUACAAGAUGGAUUUAACCAAUAACCAGCAGCAUGAAGAUUUUUUCGAAGUUGUGAAUCCCAUCGAUCAUCUAUGAUCUUCAAGUAAGGCUCCACUUUUGUCUUAUUUCUUUGAAACCUCUUCACCAUCUCCUCUCUAGCCUUAUACAUAUUUCUGUAAAGAAAACCCAUAGCAGGUUUAUCUUCACUGUCCACGAGACGCAACACACAUACAAGUGGUUAUGUGAGUUUCACUAUGUCAGCACAAGCAGUCCAAAAGUUAGUGUUCAAGACUUGUUCCACAAAUUGUUUGGCCUUGGCUUCUUUUGCAUAAGCAGAAGUUGUCCAUUCUUGAGAUGUUACCAUGGCUCUAAGUGCAUUUUUCUGAGACAAAAUACUCUGCAAAGCAAUGAAAUUAGUGGCAAAGCGAGUUGGAGCAGGACGAAGUAUCUCUCUUCCAUGAGUAAAUUUCCUCAUCAAAUACAAUGGAUAGCAAUGAUUAUAUAUAUACUUGGUAACAUUUGUGGCAUGUGAAACUGCCUCUUUAACUUCAGGUAAUUUUCCAAUGUCUUGAAACAUCAAGUUAAUGCAAUGAGCUGCACAAGGAGACCAAUACAGGCCAGGGAACUCUUUUUCCAAUAACCUACCAGCAGCAACAUAGUUUGCAGCAUUAUCUGUCACUAUCUGAACAACAUUUUCAGGGCCAAUAUAUAACACUAUUUCCUUGAAAAGCUUAAACAACAUCUCACCAGUUUUUGAAGCACCUGAAGCAUCAACAGAUUUGAUAAAAACUGUUCCUUUAGGGCAAUAAACUAAAAAGUUUAUCAGAGUUCUCCUAACCCCGUCAGUCCACCCAUCUGCCAUAAGAGUACAACCAGUAUUCUUCCAAAUCUCACGGUAUUUCUCUAUCUUUUUCUUUGUUUCAUCAACCCACUUAUUUAGCAAAGGACCACGCAAAUCAUGUAUAGAAGGAGCUUUAUAUCCGGCUCCCAUGCAACAAAGAGCAUCGACCGCAGACUGAAAAUAUGGUGAAUUUGCUGCAUUGAAGGGAAUAGAUGCAGCAAUGAACCAUUUUGCAAGUGCAAGAUCACACUUUUCUACAACUUCCUUGGUUUGCAAAACACUUUUUAUAGUAGGCUGUGAUCCAGGAGUUGUUCUAGGCAAAAAGUAAUUAUCAAAGCUUCCAUUGUUCGUUCCCUUUUGAGAUGCAACAACCACUGACCUAGGUUGUUCUCUUUGUGUUUGCUCUUCAUUACCUAUUGCAUGUUCAGUUUUUCUUUUCUUGAGCCUUGUCUCUUCACGAUUUUGUUUCAUCUUAAAGCGGACUUCUUCAGGAGCUUGGCUGCAUGCUUCGACUUGUCCAGUUUCUCCAGCCAAGUGUAACUUUAAUCUAUUAAUUCCACCUCCCUUCAUAACUUUGUUACAAUAGAUACAUUGUGGUUUUUCUUUGUCACUGUCUAGGACAAUUUUAGCGUGACCCCAAGCUAUAUCGGUUUUUGCCCUAACAUUCCUUUGAGUUUGAGAUUCUUGAGUCGAAGCUUCUGCUGAUGGUUGUGUUGGUGCUUCAGAAGAGGCCAUAACUAAUCACAAAUACAUAUGAUAUAUCAGAGACAUUUACAUUACAUUUACAUGGAAUUAUGAAACAAUCAGAAUUAAACAUUAACAUGAAAUGAACCAUUUAACAAUCAGUUUAUCAGAAUCAACAACGUACGUGGAAUGAGGAGUAUAAAACAGAGGAGAGGAGAGGAGUCAGUAUAAAACAUGUAGUAAGUAUAAAACAGAGGAGUCAACAUUAAACAUGGAAUGAGGAAUCAACAUAUAAACAAUCAGAGAUUCAGAAUUAAACAUGAAAUUAAACAUUAAACAAUCAGAAUCUACAUGAAAUUAAACAUUAAACAAGAAAUCAAAACAACAAAUCAAAAAGAAGCAAAGAAUAACAAUCUAAAAAAAAAAAGGGUUCUCUGCAACGACGGUGUACGUACGUGAGAUAAGCGGAAGCGGAAGCGGCUAUGGCGAGGGCGACGGCGACCUGGAGUUUUCGCGGCGGCGACGGAGAAUGGCGUGGAGUGGACCGGUUUCGUUUUAGCUUCUCUUCUCUCUGUACGUGAAAACUAAGAACAGAGUAUGAGGUUUCGUUUUAGCUUCUCUGACCCUUCUAAUUCCGUUUUUUUUUUUUUUUUUCAAUUAACAAAUCCAAAACGACGUCGUUUUGGUAAGCAAAAAAAAAAAAAAAAAAAAAUUGAACCGGUCUGACCCACGACUCGGCCGAGUCACCGGUUUUGGCCGGUUUUGACCGGGUUAUCUGCAUGGCCGAUCCAAAUGAUGGCUCGAACCGGCCUACCCACCGGUUCACGGUCCGACCGGUCCGACCGGCCGGUCCGAGCCGAGUCUGAAAACUAUGCUCCUAACGACCAAAUAUCCUUCUUACAUUGAAAAGGUAUGUGUAUGUCCUCUCGUACCUUAUCAUAUCAUUGUCACCAUUUAAGGUUAGUGGUGUAAUAAUGUCUCCCAAACACACACUACAUCUUAAAAUUUAUGAUAUAAAGUAGUAAAAUAGUAUUUAUUGAAUCUCAUUAAAGUUCACUUUAGCAAUAGCUUACACAAGAUAGUACACACCUCUUAAACUAGCAUGCUCAUCCUACAAAGCCUAAUUCAUCUAGUCAUUUGGAAAUAUUUACUUUAAAUACUGUCCUGAACGCCAGUUGUUUUAAUUUUUAACCACAAAAUCUCACAUUGUGGAUUAUCUUUAGUUUUGAUUAUUAUUCUCAACCACAUAAUUGAAGAACUCUACCAUUUUUGCUAAAAAUGUUUCAACAGUUUCUGUUUUACAGCUGUUAGCAUGUCCAAUUGCCCAUUAUUUUGGAAUUCAUGAUUAUCGAUACUUCCUUUCUUGUGAAUCCAAAACUGUCAUACUCGUUCUACUGGCACUUUUGAGGUUACGGAGUGCUUGCAAGAUUUUUGUACACAAAGGUUUGUCUCGUUGGCAUACUGCAAAAUAUCUUUGUAAAUGUUCUGGCAAAGCAUUUAAGAUUGUUCUGCUAAUAUUACCCACGAAGAUCUUUCACUGCUAGUGAAGUAACUUCCAAUUUUGUAGAGUAUAUCCAUAAAAAUAUAGUCGUAGGUUUGGCUCCAUAAUUUAAUUUAAAAUAAUCACGAGCAGUUUCAAUAGUUUUACACAUCAAUCUGCUCAUUUUUCUUGUUUAUUCACAUUGAAAGAUGUUGACAUGUAGAAAAUUCACAUUGAAAGAUGUUGACAUGUAAAAAAUGAUAGCCUGGAUAUAGAAAACUACAUGUAGGUUCAACAGUUUUGCACCAAUCGGUUCAUUUUCCUUGUUUAUUCAAUUUGAAAAAUGUUAAUUAACAUAUAAAUGUGUAACCCAUUUUUACACAUUUUGGUCUCUAAAUGUGUGACAUCACGUGUCCAUGUCAAUACUUGGCAUUAGAAAACAAUUUUCUGUUUUAACUUUUUAAAUUAUAAAACUCUUACAUUGUUUCUACUCUGUUUUAUGUUUUAAUAUUUAAAUAAUUUCUACUUAAAACAAAACUAUUAUCAUUUUUUUUAGAGGAACAAUACUAUCUAUUAUCAUUUUUUCCUGUACAAACUUUGAAAAUAUUAUCACGGUUUCCUGAAAAUUAAAAGUAAAAGCGGGAUGAAAAUGUAAAUGUUUUCUCAAACCAAACACUUGGUUUAUCCAAUGGAUGUGUCUCAGUUGUUUAAGGAGUGAGUGAUUUGCUUGUAGAAUAAUGUUGCAUUUCUCUAUCUGCGGCUUGGUGCUUAGAAUACGUGAAGAGUUUUAAAUUACAAUCCAAACACUCGAGGGAAAUCGGUCUCAUAAGUCAUAACUCAUCUAAAGGAUUGAAACUUGAGGAAAUACUAUGUAGAGUUACUAAGAUGUCAAAUAGAUAAUUUCAAAUCUCAAGUUUAAUUGUCUCCAUUGCUAAUUUUGGUGGGUUAGUUCAUGCACAUCAAUCUGACUUUAAAUGAGGCUCCCGCAAGUAAACAACGAGAUUCAACCCUUUGGAUUAGUCGAUCAUUUGAUCGGAUAUAAAAAAAAAUUAAAAAAAUUGAAUACACUAAUUAUGUUGUUUACGUUGUACAUAACAUCCUGAUUUCUUGUAUUCAAUAUGUGAACAAGAUAUUAGAUACCUUCAAAUCAGAGUAAAUAAUCAUUUUUUUUUUUAAUGGUUUUGCUAAUGAGUGGCUUAAACACUCUUUAAACAUUUUAAAAUAAUCAAUUAUUCUUUAAAAAAGUCAAAUAUUUCGAUUUUCAAUGCAUUGAAUAUACAUUUUUUUUCAUAAAUACUUACAAUUUAUGGAUCUUUAAGAGUGUCCAGGAGAUACUCGUUAGAAUUUCCCUUUCUUAAAUGGUAAUACUUAAUAAGCAUUCUAUCUUUCUAAGACAUCAAUACAACACGUAAAAAAAAAUACUAAAUAGUCUAAUGCCACUAUCCACUUGCAGAAUACCCAUUUAAAGCCAAAGUAAAGUUAUAUAUAGACUAACCCACCUAAAUUGAUACCAUGCAGAAUCAAACUUGAGACCUAAAGAGUAGCACACUCCAAACUCUCAAACCAGCAAUACUAAAGCCAACCAAGUGGGUUGGAGAAACAAAACCUUUAAUAGCAUGUUUGAAUAACAGCCCUUGCUAGCGUCAAAAGAUAACAUUAUUACCAUCCAAGCAAAAUCAAUUUUUUUAACCUCUAUUUCUCUUGGUUUCAAUUGUUCAAAUCAAUUCUAUCAAAUUUUAGACAAUUCAAGCAAUAAUCUAAAAGGUACAACCCACAAUUAGGACAUAACCCGUCCAUACUGGAACUGCAUGUCACAAUCUCCCCCACUUCUCCUCCACUCCAUUAGAGCCACUAUUCCAAUGGCGUAUGUAAUAGGCUCAUAGAAAGAGACAACUAAAGAGAAAAACAGUUCAUCUAAGUACUUUUUUGAAUUCUGCUCUUUACCAAAACGGUUUUACUCAUUCCCAAAGUAAAUGUUCAUAUUAUCCCUGCGUGAGUUAACAUGUACUCCGUGAGUUAACUCACGCCAGUCAUAAAAAAACAAUUUUUUCACGGGAGUUAAGUCCCGCUAAACCACUUUCAGAAGAAUACUAUGAUAGUGCAUUUUCAUAGUGCAUUUGUCAUACAAAGUAGAAGCUUAGUUUCAUGUAACAAAAAGAAAAAAAACAAAUGAAAAAAGGGUUCCUAGCUAGAUAAGAAAUUCAUAUGUGAUAGCUUGAAUUAAGAAUAUUGGAAUCUAAUGAAAUUUAUAUGUAGAAGUUGUAGAAGAAACUUUAUGAUGAACUUGACUCAUCUAAUUCAUCAGCUAACAACAAAUUAAUAAUGCUUUUCUCCUUGCUCAGAGAAAUCACGUGUGAAGAGUGGUGUGGACAUCCUAGCUUGCGACACGAAUUUGGAAGAAGAAGCAUGCAUAUGUGACAAUACAUGACUGAGAAUAAAAUAGUAAAUUCGGCUGCUUUUUGUUAGAGAUGAUGUCACAUGAAUAUAAAAGUAACUAGAAUUGUAGCGUGAGUUAACUCACGCGAGGUGUAAAUGGCAACGUGAGUUAACUCACGCAAUGUGUGUUAACUCACGUUGGCAUUUGUACUAGCGUGAGUUAACAUGAAUAGGGUUAUUUUGGUCAUUUAUUUUGGAAAUGAGCGAAACCGUUGGGUAAAAGAGCAGAAUUCUACUUUUUUUAGUGUUUAUUGUUACUUUCAGCUUCAUCCCCAUGUCUGUGACAAAAACUAAAACUAAGCAUGUGAUUCUUAAUAACACAUUCCAAACCCAAGUCUCGAAGACAACUCACGUCUAGGUAACCAGAAAAGAAUAAAGUGCAGUUGCUAAGUAUCAGACUAAGAUGUGUCUACUUUUCUCAAGUGUGACGAAUUUCUUUAAGGCCGGAGAAAGUUGUCGAUGCUAG
Molecule: long non-coding RNA, 11701 nt
Filed under: Medicago truncatula (barrel medic)
Lineage: Eukaryota; Viridiplantae; Streptophyta; Magnoliopsida; Fabales; Fabaceae
Description: long non-coding RNA (MTRU_LNC002773)
Source: RNAcentral